Molecule: long non-coding RNA, 263 nt
Filed under: Mytilus galloprovincialis (Mediterranean mussel)
Lineage: Eukaryota; Metazoa; Mollusca; Bivalvia; Mytilida; Mytilidae
Source: RNAcentral
CUCUAGAUGUGGUCAAGUGAUCACAGAUAUCCCCACCUAUUAUAGCAACUGAGAGGUCAGAAUUUCAAUUCACUUUUUUUCCGUGGGGUUUUGGUUGUUAAGGCUGGAAAUUGUUUGAUAAGCCACGGUUUUCCUAUAUUUAAAAGAAAAGCAUUCAGAUGUUUGUAAAAGAGAGUCGAAAAAUACCAAAGGGGCAAUGAAGCUCAUACCUUGAAAGUAAACUAACAACGACAUGGCAAAAAAACCGAAAAAGAACAAAAGAC